AGUGAACGCUGGCGGUAGGCCUAACACAUGCAAGUCGAACGGCAGCACAGUAAGAGCUUGCUCUUACGGGUGGCGAGUGGCGGACGGGUGAGGAAUACACCGGAAUCUACUUUUUCGUGGGGGAUAACGUAGGGAAACUUACGAUAAUAUCGCAUACGACCUACGGGUGAAAGCAGGGGAUCUUCGGACCUUGCGCGAUUGAAUGCGCCGAUGUCGGAUUAGCUAGUUGGCGGGGUAAAGACCCACCAAGGGGACGAUCCGUAGCUGGUCUGAGAGGAUGAUCGGCCACACUGGAACUGAGACACGGUCCAGACGCCUACGGGAGGCAGCAGUGGGGAAUAUUGGACAAUGGGCGCAAGCCUGAUCCAGCCAUACCGCGUGGGUGAAGAAGGCCUUCGGGUUGUAAAGCCCUUUUGUUGGGAAAGAAAAGCAGCAGGUUAAUACCCCGCUGUUCUGACGGUACCCAAAGAAUAAGCACCGGCUAACUUCGUG
This 492-nucleotide ribosomal RNA is filed under the name uncultured bacterium. RNAcentral's name for it is "partial 16S ribosomal RNA". It matches the Rfam family "Bacterial small subunit ribosomal RNA", at positions 29 to 507 of the family's 1533-position model. The record is from RNAcentral.